Molecule: unclassified non-coding RNA, 229 nt
Filed under: plant metagenome
Description: partial contains small subunit ribosomal RNA, internal transcribed spacer 1, and 5.8S ribosomal RNA
Source: RNAcentral
UCUCCGUAGGUGAACCUGCGGAGGGAUCAUUACAGAGUUCAUGCCCUACCGGGUAGAUCUCCCACCCUAUGUUAUUAUUACUUUGUUGCUUUUGCGGGCCGUUAGGCUCCGGCCCGACUACCGGCCCCGGCUGGUAAGCGCCCGCCAGAGGCCCCAAAACCCCGAAUAUUAGUGUCGUCUGAGUACUAUAUAAUAGUUAAAACUUUCAACAACGGAUCUCUUGGUUCUG